UUUAUGGAGAGUUUGAUCCUGGCUCAGGAUGAACGCUGGCGGCGUGCCUAAUACAUGCAAGUCGAGCGAACGGACGAGAAGCUUGCUUCUCUGAUGUUAGCGGCGGACGGGUGAGUAACACGUGGAUAACCUACCUAUAAGACUGGGAUAACUUCGGGAAACCGGAGCUAAUACCGGAUAAUAUUUGAACCGCAUGGUUCAAAAGUGAAAGACGGUCUUGCUGUCACUUAUAGAUGGAUCCGCGCUGCAUUAGCUAGUUGGUAAGGUAACGGCUUACCAAGGCAACGAUGCAUAGCCGACCUGAGAGGGUGAUCGGCCACACUGGAACUGAGACACGGUCCAGACUCCUACGGGAGGCAGCAGUAGGGAAUCUUCCGCAAUGGGCGAAAGCCUGACGGAGCAACGCCGCGUGAGUGAUGAAGGUCUUCGGAUCGUAAAACUCUGUUAUUAGGGAAGAACAUAUGUGUAAGUAACUGUGCACAUCUUGACGGUACCUAAUCAGAAAGCCACGGCUAACUACGUGCCAGCAGCCGCGGUAAUACGUAGGUGGCAAGCGUUAUCCGGAAUUAUUGGGCGUAAAGCGCGCGUAGGCGGUUUUUUAAGUCUGAUGUGAAAGCCCACGGCUCAACCGUGGAGGGUCAUUGGAAACUGGAAAACUUGAGUGCAGAAGAGGAAAGUGGAAUUCCAUGUGUAGCGGUGAAAUGCGCAGAGAUAUGGAGGAACACCAGUGGCGAAGGCGACUUUCUGGUCUGUAACUGACGCUGAUGUGCGAAAGCGUGGGGAUCAAACAGGAUUAGAUACCCUGGUAGUCCACGCCGUAAACGAUGAGUGCUAAGUGUUAGGGGUUUCCGCCCCUUAGUGCUGCAGCUAACGCAUUAAGCACUCCGCCUGGGGAGUACGACCGCAAGGUUGAAACUCAAAGGAAUUGACGGGGACCCGCACAAGCGGUGGAGCAUGUGGUUUAAUUCGAAGCAACGCGAAGAACCUUACCAAAUCUUGACAUCCUUUGACAACUCUAGAGAUAGAGCCUCCCCUUCGGGGGACAAAGUGACAGGUGGUGCAUGGUUGUCGUCAGCUCGUGUCGUGAGAUGUUGGGUUAAGUCCCGCAACGAGCGCAACCCUUAAGCUUAGUUGCCAUCAUUAAGUUGGGCACUCUAAGUUGACUGCCGGUGACAAACCGGAGGAAGGUGGGGAUGACGUCAAAUCAUCAUGCCCCUUAUGAUUUGGGCUACACACGUGCUACAAUGGACAAUACAAAGGGCAGCGAAACCGCGAGGUCAAGCAAAUCCCAUAAAGUUGUUCUCAGUUCGGAUUGUAGUCUGCAACUCGACUACAUGAAGCUGGAAUCGCUAGUAAUCGUAGAUCAGCAUGCUACGGUGAAUACGUUCCCGGGUCUUGUACACACCGCCCGUCACACCACGAGAGUUUGUAACACCCGAAGCCGGUGGAGUAACCUUUUAGGAGCUAGCCGUCGAAGGUGGGACAAAUGAUUGGGGUGAAGUCGUAACAAGGUAGCCGUAUCGGAAGGUGCGGCUGGAUCACCUCCUUU
This 1549-nucleotide ribosomal RNA is filed under the name Staphylococcus aureus. RNAcentral's name for it is "16S ribosomal RNA". It matches the Rfam family "Bacterial small subunit ribosomal RNA". Lineage: Bacteria; Bacillati; Bacillota; Bacilli; Caryophanales; Staphylococcaceae. The record is from RNAcentral.